AUUUUCCGGUUGAUCCUGCCGGACCCGACUGCUAUCAGAGUGAGAUUAAGCCAUGCGAGUCAACGUAGCAAUACGUGGCACACGGCUCAGUAAUACGUAGUCAACAUAACCAAAGGACGUGGAUAAACUCGGGAAACUGAGGCUAAACCGCGAUAGACCAAGAUACCUGGAAUGGUUUUUGAUCAAAAUCUAUAUGGCCUUUGGAUUGGACUGCGACCGAUCAGGCUGUUGGUGAGGUAAUGGCCCACCAAACCUGUAACCGGUACGGGCUCUGAGAGGAGGAGCCCGGAGAUGGGUACUGAGAAAAGGACCCAGGCCUUAUGGGGCGCAGCAGGCGCGAAACCUCUGCAAUAGGCGAAAGCCUGACAGGGUUAUUCUGAGUGACUUUCGCUAAGAAAGUCUUUUGACAUCUCUAAAAAUGGUGUAGAAUAAGGGGUGGGCAAGUCUGGUGUCAGCCGCCGCGGUAAUACCAGCACCCCGAGUGGUCGGGACGAUUAUUGGGCCUAAGGCAUCCGUAGCCGGUUUUACAAGUCCUCCGUUAAAUCCAACUGCUUAACAGAUGGGCCGCGGAGGAUACUAUAAGACUAGGAGGCAGGAGAGGCAAGCGGUACUCAGUGGGUAGGGGUAAAAUCCGUUGAUCCAUUGAAGACCACCAGUGGCGAAGGCGGCUUGCCAGAAUGCGCUCGACGGUGAGGGAUGAAAGCUGGGGGGAGCAAACCGGAUUAGAUACCCGGGUAGUCCCAGCUGUAAACGAUGCAGACUCGGUGAUGGACUAGCUUAAUGCUAGUCCAGUGCCGCAGGGAAGCCGUUAAGUCUGCCGCCCGGGUAGUACGGUCGCAAGACUGAAACUUAAAGGAAUUGGCGGGAAUC
This 870-nucleotide ribosomal RNA is filed under the name uncultured archaeon. RNAcentral describes it as "bacterial SSU rRNA". It matches the Rfam family "Archaeal small subunit ribosomal RNA", at positions 1 to 876 of the family's 1478-position model. The record is from RNAcentral.